GUCAGGCACGGUGGCGCGCGCCUGUAGUCCCAGCUACUCAGGAGGCUGAGGUGGGAGGAUCACUUGAGUCCAGGAGUUCAAGGGUUCAGUGAGCCAUGAUCAUGCCACUGCACACCAGCCUGGGCAACAGAGUAAGACCCUGUCUCUG
Unclassified non-coding RNA from Papio anubis (olive baboon), 148 nucleotides. It matches the Rfam family "Metazoan signal recognition particle RNA". Rfam says of the family: The signal recognition particle (SRP) is a universally conserved ribonucleoprotein. It is involved in the co-translational targeting of proteins to membranes. The eukaryotic SRP consists of a 300-nucleotide 7S RNA and six proteins: SRPs 72, 68, 54, 19, 14, and 9. The record is from Ensembl. NCBI's taxonomy places the organism in Eukaryota, Metazoa, Chordata, Mammalia, Primates, Cercopithecidae.